CUUAGUGGCGGACGGGUGAGUAACGCGUGGGUAACCUGCCUUAUACAGGGGGAUAACACUUAGAAAUAGGUGCUAAUACCGCAUAAGCGCACGGCUCCGCAUGGGGCAGUGUGAAAAACUCCGGUGGUAUACGAUGGAUCCGCGUCUGAUUAGCUAGUUGGCGGGGUAACGGCCCACCAAGGCAGCGAUCAGUAGCCGGCCUGAGAGGGUGGACGGCCACAUUGGGACUGAGACACGGCCCAAACUCCUACGGGAGGCAGCAG
Molecule: ribosomal RNA, 263 nt
Filed under: uncultured bacterium
Lineage: Bacteria
Description: partial 16S ribosomal RNA
Rfam family: Bacterial small subunit ribosomal RNA
Source: RNAcentral